RNAcentral lists this ribosomal RNA (346 nucleotides) under Hepatozoon silvestris. RNAcentral describes it as "SSU rRNA". It matches the Rfam family "Eukaryotic small subunit ribosomal RNA", at positions 577 to 922 of the family's 1831-position model. The record is from RNAcentral. Lineage: Eukaryota; Apicomplexa; Hepatozoidae.
CGGUAAUUCCAGCUCCAAUAGCGUAUAUUAAAAUUGUUGCAGUUAAAAAGCUCGUAGUUGAAUUUCUGCUAAAAAUAACCGGUCUGCUUUUAAUAAAGGUGGUAUCUUGGUGUGUUUUCAGCAAUAAUGUCCUUUGAAAUGUUUUUUACUUCAUUGUAAGAAAUUAUAUUCAGGAUUUUUACUUUGAGAAAAUUAGAGUGUUUCUAGCAGGCUAACGCUUUGAAUACUGCAGCAUGGAAUAAUAAAAUAGGAUUUUGGUUCUACAUUAUUGGUUUUAAGUGCUAAAUUAAUGAUUGAUAGGGACAGUUGGGGGCAUUUGUAUUAACUGUCAGAGGUGAAAUUCUUA